Molecule: long non-coding RNA, 1057 nt
Organism: Passer domesticus (house sparrow)
Lineage: Eukaryota; Metazoa; Chordata; Aves; Passeriformes; Passeridae
Exons: 3
Source: RefSeq, a predicted model, not a curated record
UUUAAGCAAAACAUCUUGAUUAUUGAUAAGUGUUAUCCAGAACUUUCAUGGCAUGUUUAAGAGCUUGGAAGCAAGGCUGGAGACUUGAAGAAAAAAUGUAACUCUCUGCCUAACAAUGAUUGAUUGUGUUGAUAAUAUUUAUGACCUUGCUGGUAAGAAGUUAAAUUCCCUAAAAAGAACAGGACAGUGGGUUGGGAAGGUAUGCUGAGGAAUGUGCACACCAUAAACUUCAGCUACUGUACAACUAUGUGACUUCAGGGUUUUUUUGGCUUGAUGGGCCCAAAUCCAACAGUAGUGUCCAGGCAAAGGUAAGCUCAGGGGUACAACGACUGGAAGGUGUUUGGAAAUUCCAGCUUCUCCUGAAGUCUCAUCAGAACACGCUCAGCCACCUUGUUAAAACUCUGGUCGUCACUGCUGGCAGAACAAAAAAAGAAAAACAGGUGCUCUAGGUUCUUGUGGAUCAGUACCAAGUGUAGAGCUCAUGUCAGCCUCGUCCUCUGGCCUCUGCUGCAAAUACAAAGCUUUCAAGGGGUUCAUGGUCCAGUCGAAAAGAGGAUCAUAGAGCAGCACCUACACAGUAAAUAAACCUCUUUUUAAUUUCAGCUGUUCAUUAGAGCUAGUUCAGUGCCCUAGCACUGUUGGAAAUGCUAACCACAAUAUUAGGAGAGUGAGUGUUUUGCUUUGUUUUUAUUUUUUUUCAAAUCAAUAGAAUUGGGCUAAAUUGGUUAGUAAAUAAUCCAGCAACAAAACUGCCUCUGAGCAUUUACAAGUAUUUGUGUUGUUCAUAUUUCACAAAGUUUUUCCAUCAGUCCCACCCACCUCAGCAGUGAAUUUUUUAAUACACUGCUAGCACUAAAGAGAAUCAUUAGCUUUUAAUGCACAGUGUAACCUGCUUUCAAAAAUCAGUUUAAUUCUCUUCUUUAUGACUUAAGCAAAGAGGAUUUAAUUCAAUCAGUAUUACUCCUGCUGGGAAUACUGCACUAUGGCUAGAAGCACAUAGGUGUUGAAGAGGGAGAACUGCCUGAAGGAAACACUUUCCACAGAAAAUGCAAACUGG